UACGUAGGUGGCAAGCGUUGUCCGGAUUCACUGGGCGUAAAGAGCGCGCAGGCGGUUGUGCAAGUCGCGUGUGAAAGCCCCCGGCUCAACUGGGGAGGGUCACGCGAUACUGUUCGACUUGAAGGCAGGAGAGGGAAGUGGAAUUCCCGGUGUAGUGGUGAAAUGCGUAGAUAUCGGGAGGAACACCAGUGGCGAAGGCGACUUCCUGGCCUGUUCUUGACGCUGAGGCGCGAAAGCUAGGGUAGCAAACGGG
This 253-nucleotide ribosomal RNA is filed under the name uncultured bacterium. Its description in RNAcentral is "partial 16S ribosomal RNA". It matches the Rfam family "Bacterial small subunit ribosomal RNA", at positions 524 to 776 of the family's 1533-position model. The record is from RNAcentral.